This 253-nucleotide ribosomal RNA is filed under the name uncultured bacterium. RNAcentral's name for it is "partial 16S ribosomal RNA". It matches the Rfam family "Bacterial small subunit ribosomal RNA", at positions 524 to 776 of the family's 1533-position model. The record is from RNAcentral.
GACGUAGGAUGCGAGCGUUGUCCGGAUUUAUUGGGCGUAAAGAGCUCGUAGGCGGUCUGUCGCGUCGGCUGUGAAAGUCAGGGGCUCAACCCUUGAAAGCCGGCCGAUACUGUCGGACUAGAGUCCGGAAGAGGCAAGUGGAAUUCCCGGUGUAGCGGUGAAAUGCGCAGAUAUCGGGAGGAACACCAAUGGCGAAGGCAGCUUGCUGGGACGGUACUGACGCUGAGGCGCGAAAGCGUGGGGAGCAAACAGG